UACGUAGGGUGCAAGCGUUGUCCGGAAUUAUUGGGCGUAAAGAGCUCGUAGGCGGUUUGUCGCGUCUGCUGUGAAAACCCGAGGCUCAACCUCGGGCCUGCAGUGGGUACGGGCAGACUAGAGUGCGGUAGGGGAGACUGGAAUUCCUGGUGUAGCGGUGGAAUGCGCAGAUAUCAGGAGGAACACCGGUGGCGAAGGCGGGUCUCUGGGCCGUAACUGACGCUGAGGAGCGAAAGCAUGGGGAGCGAACAGG
Molecule: ribosomal RNA, 253 nt
Filed under: uncultured bacterium
Lineage: Bacteria
Description: partial 16S ribosomal RNA
Rfam family: Bacterial small subunit ribosomal RNA
Source: RNAcentral